UUAAAGGGGCGCCGUCCAAUUCACAGGAAGAGCUAAAGCAUAGAGUUAUAUAUUAGCAUAGAGAGAGUGUCAUUCAGAGCGAAGUGACGACACCAUCUUUUUUAUUUGGAUUAGUGCUGUUUCACUCUUACGCAUAUUAAAGCUGCUACAGUUGUCCUCCUCUUCCGUGCCUAUCUUCACACUGAAUAUCAUCAUAGAUUUUCGAUACAAUGUGUUAGAAAGAGAUGCAGCAAUCCAGUCCAUGAGAUCUUGUCGUCAGGAAGCGCGGAAGGUAGGCUCCCUCUAUGUUAAUAUAUACCUCUAUGAGCUAAAGUUCUUAUGGAAAUCCAUUGUUGCCACAUCUUCAAAUAUGAGAAGAGACGUCUAUCAAUUACUGUCAAUUGUCAUUGUCUGAUGAUCUUUGUCGUUAUGUUAUGUUUGGUUAUGUUGUUAACAACUUUUGAUAGGAUAAAGAUAUUUUAAACACAUUUUAAAAGAUAAAGAACCUUAGUAGUUAGUAGAAAGGAAAGCAAUUUUAGUUUCCAACCGUGAAAUAUUUAUCAUCUAGUGGGAAAACCGCAGUGAUUGUGCCUUCAAACGGGCAAUUUGAAAGGACAACCCCACCAAAAACCAUUAUAAUUAUAAAUUGAAAUGAUUAAAAAUGUUUGUACCUAUGUAAUUGUACAUGUAAAGCUGGAAAUUCAGGCAUACCAUGGAAAAUUUGAAAAAAAUAAGCACCACAGACAUCAAACAACAGUGGGGAUAAUUUAAAAAACAAUAAUACAACAUAGUCAACAACUACCAGUCUGCUGAUAAAUGGGCUACUGAUAUUGUACUAAAUUAUGAUUUAGCUCUAUUUUACUCAAAUAAUGUUGAAGUAAGCUACAGUAACUCUGUUGAAAUAUCUUUAGCUAUGCUAAACCAAACUGGAGAAGCAUGAAAAAAGCUGAUGUGACUGCAAGUAACUGGGACAAUUUAUUGCCAUUUAUUUACUUAUCAUAAAAAUAAAAGCCCAAGUUGGCCACUUAAAGUCAACCAAUUGUAUAAUUCCAAUUUUAAAUAAAAUACUGUACCCUUCCGUGGGAAAAAAUUAUGAAUCAGUUGCUUUAAAUAUGUAUGAAAAAAUAAGUCUAAGUAUGUAUGUAUGUAUUAUCAGUUUUAUUCCAAUUAUAUAAGUAAAAAACUUGUUUUAAAA
Molecule: long non-coding RNA, 1174 nt
Organism: Diabrotica virgifera virgifera (western corn rootworm)
Lineage: Eukaryota; Metazoa; Arthropoda; Insecta; Coleoptera; Chrysomelidae
Exons: 2
Source: RefSeq, a predicted model, not a curated record